RNAcentral lists this ribosomal RNA (468 nucleotides) under uncultured bacterium. Its description in RNAcentral is "partial 16S ribosomal RNA". It matches the Rfam family "Bacterial small subunit ribosomal RNA", at positions 28 to 507 of the family's 1533-position model. The record is from RNAcentral.
GACGAACGCUGGCGGCGUGCUUAACACAUGCAAGUCGAACGGAAAGGCCCUGCUUUUGUGGGGUGCUCGAGUGGCGAACGGGUGAGUAACACGUGAGUAACCUGUCCUUGACUUUGGGAGAACUUAAGGAAACUGGGGCUAAUACCGGCUAGGAGCUCUUGCUGCAUGGUGGGGGUUGGAUAGUUUAGGCGGUUGGGGAUGGAAUCGCGGCUUAUCAGCUUGUUGGUGUGGUAGUGGCUGACCAAGGCAUGGAACGGUAGCCGGCCUGAGAGGGGAAGCAGCCACAUCGGGACUGAGAUACGGCCCAGACUCCUACGGGAGGCAGCGGUGGGGAGUAUUACACAGUGGGCGGGAGGCUGAUCCGACCACGCCGCGUGCGGGAUGACGGCCUUGGGGUAGUGAAGCGCUGUCGCCUUAGACGAGGCGUGAGUGACGGUACUGGGUGAAGAAGCACCGGCUAACUACGUG